RNAcentral lists this ribosomal RNA (837 nucleotides) under Pseudoalteromonadaceae bacterium ACEMC 13-2. RNAcentral describes it as "bacterial SSU rRNA". It matches the Rfam family "Bacterial small subunit ribosomal RNA", at positions 49 to 882 of the family's 1533-position model. The record is from RNAcentral. Lineage: Bacteria; Pseudomonadati; Pseudomonadota; Gammaproteobacteria; Alteromonadales; Pseudoalteromonadaceae.
CUACACAUGCAGUCGAGCGGUAACAGAAAGUAGCUUGCUACUUUGCUGACGAGCGGCGGACGGGUGAGUAAUGCUUGGGAACAUGCCCUUGAGGUGGGGGACAACAGUUGGAAACGACUGCUAAUACCGCAUAAUGUCUACGGACCAAAGGGGGCUUCGGCUCUCGCCUUUAGAUUGGCCCAAGUGGGAUUAGCUAGUUGGUGAGGUAAUGGCUCACCAAGGCAACGAUCCCUAGCUGGUUUGAGAGGAUGAUCAGCCACACUGGAACUGAGACACGGUCCAGACUCCUACGGGAGGCAGCAGUGGGGAAUAUUGCACAAUGGGCGAAAGCCUGAUGCAGCCAUGCCGCGUGUGUGAAGAAGGCCUUCGGGUUGUAAAGCACUUUCAGUCAGGAGGAAAGGGUGUGAGUUAAUACCUCACAUCUGUGACGUUACUGACAGAAGAAGCACCGGCUAACUCCGUGCCAGCAGCCGCGGUAAUACGGAGGGUGCGAGCGUUAAUCGGAAUUACUGGGCGUAAAGCGUACGCAGGCGGUUUGUUAAGCGAGAUGUGAAAGCCCCGGGCUCAACCUGGGAACUGCAUUUCGAACUGGCAAACUAGAGUGUGAUAGAGGGUGGUAGAAUUUCAGGUGUAGCGGUGAAAUGCGUAGAGAUCUGAAGGAAUACCGAUGGCGAAGGCAGCCACCUGGGUCAACACUGACGCUCAUGUACGAAAGCGUGGGGAGCAAACGGGAUUAGAUACCCCGGUAGUCCACGCCGUAAACGAUGUCUACUAGAAGCUCGGAACCUCGGUUCUGUUUUUCAAAGCUAACGCAUUAAGUAGACCGCCUGGGGAGUA